AUCAGGUGAGAGUUUACAGCUUACUAGUGAAAAUGAUGAAUGCGCAUUUGUUUUUAAAUUAAAUUGUUCUUGAUGUCUUUUUCUGCUUAGAUUAUGAAUUCAAAGUAAAAUUUUUCUUUUGUAACAAAUAUAGAAUGGUACUGGAAGGAAUGGAAGAAGAAACAUGUUGAGUGGUUAAUUUUGGAUGAAUAAAAGCUAGUUGAAGGUCUUUGUUAAGUUGUUCUAGUUUUCACUCUGUCUUGGUUGAGAAGUCUGAGCCAUUUGAGACUGGAAAAAGUGAAUUGACAGGUUCAUUGGUAGUGGAACCAAAAGAAGAAUUGAGAGUUUAUGGGUUAACAGUGAAAAUGAUGAAUACCCACUUGUUUUUUUCUUUUAUUAAAUUGCCCUUGACUUUUUUUCUGCUUGGAUUAUGAAUUGAGAGUAAACUUUUCUUUUGUAAUAAAUAACAUGUUGGGCGGAUAAUUUUAAGUGAAUAAAAGCUUAUUUUGAGGUGGUUUUUAAAUUGUUCUUCUUGUUUUCGGACUGUCUACGUUGAGAAAUCUGAGCCAUUUCAGAUUGGAAAGAGUGAAUUGAGUGGUUCAUUGGUAGUGGAACCAAAAGAAGAACAAACAUGCCAGGGUUUGAAUUCUUUUUCAACUGAAAAUUGUGAACAACUUGAAAAGAAAAGUCAUUGGUGGUGGAAGAAAAUGAAGAAGGAAUUUGUCAGGAUGAGAUUUCUAUUUUAGUUCAUGAUAAACCAAGUCAAUCUCUGGAUUGGUUUUUGGAGGGGAUUGUUUCCUUGUUUUGUGAUAAAGG
Molecule: long non-coding RNA, 795 nt
Organism: Pistacia vera
Lineage: Eukaryota; Viridiplantae; Streptophyta; Magnoliopsida; Sapindales; Anacardiaceae
Exons: 3
Source: RefSeq, a predicted model, not a curated record